AAAUGAUCUUCCAUGUUAGGGACACUACUCAUCUGCCAUCGAUGCCAAAUCAAAGGGAACCAUCCAAAUCAACUCAAACCUCAUUCAAGUUUGGUUGUAAAGCAUGUAAAAUUAGAACACUAACAGAAGUUUGAAGAUAAAAAGUUCUAUCUUAUCUAGAAGCCAUGUAAAAGAAUCUUGUUACACAAAUUUCGCCUGGCACAAACUAUAGCUAACUUUAUAAACUUAAAAUAUCUCAACUAAACUUUGGCUUUGAUAAAACUAGUUUGCACAAAUAAGAACAAAAAUGAACCAUAGUU
Molecule: unclassified non-coding RNA, 299 nt
Filed under: Hevea brasiliensis (rubber tree)
Lineage: Eukaryota; Viridiplantae; Streptophyta; Magnoliopsida; Malpighiales; Euphorbiaceae
Source: RNAcentral